Bombyx mori (domestic silkworm) is the source of this 3982-nucleotide RNA transcript. RefSeq lists it as uncharacterized. The transcript has a single exon. The record is from RefSeq and is a predicted model, not a curated record. Lineage: Eukaryota; Metazoa; Arthropoda; Insecta; Lepidoptera; Bombycidae.
UAGCCAUAAGUUGACGUCAUUGUCAAUCUGUUUUAUUCGUUAUUUGUCAAUGUACCUAAUGUAAUCAAAGCAAAUUUUACUGUUAAUUUUAGCUUAUUAAAACCUUAUAUUCAGUAAAGGUUUUCUCUUAUUACAAUUUAAUAAGCUAAAUAAAUAAAAAAUGGAUAGAUAUCUCCGCCCUGAAAGGUUUGAUAUCGACCCGUCAGAUAGCUCUAGUACGAGAGCUUGGAUACAUUGGCGUAAAACUUUCGAAAACUUCAUUUUCGUGCAGAAGCCGGCCGUUUCAGAAACAGAUGCACAGUCGGUUCGUCCGCCAGAAAAAUGGGACAGCAUAAAGUUUCAACUUUUGGUAAACCAUAUAUCACCAAAUAUCUACACAUAUAUAAGCGAAGCUACGAACUACGAAGAAGCGAUCACAAUACUGCAAAAACUGUAUGUAAAACCAAAAAAUCUGAUUUUUGCUAGACACAUGUUAGCAACAAGGAAACAACGUCCAGAAGAAAGUAUUGACACAUAUUUACAAGCUUUGAAACUACUUUCUAAAGAUUGUGAUUUUGUGGCUGUUGAUGCAGAAACAAACAAAAACGAUAGCGUACGUGAUGCUUUCAUAUCCGGUAUAUCAUCGCAUAAAAUCAGACAAAGGCUUUUAGAAAACUUAACUUUAACACUUGAUCAAGCUUACAACCAAACACUCUCUCUAGAAACUGCAGAGAUCAACUCUCAAAACUUCAAUACUGUCUCUUUAAAUGCUGUUGCUCCAAAAGAACCAACAUUAGUCUCUUCGAAAUCACAAACUCUGCACAACGAGACCUGCUCUUCUGUUAAUACUCCUCGACGACAAAAAUGUUUCUUUUGUGGGGGUCAAAUACAUCCUCGUAAGAACUGCCCUGCAUUUGAAAAGACUUGUCAGCUCUGCAACAAGAAGGGGCACUUUGCCACUGUUUGUAGAAGCUCUUCUAAAUCUACAAAUUCUGUGGUAAUAGGUACUGAAGAUCUUUCCGCUUGUAUCACAGCAGCGUCACCUUCUUCAUUACGUAAAGCUACUGUACCCGCUUAUAUUCGGGGAAUAAGAGCAGAAGCACUUCUCGACACCGGCAGCUCCAUCAGUUUUAUAAAUGACAACUUUGCAAGACUAUGCGGGUUAAAAAGAAAAUCCUGUAAUCAGACUAUUUCUAUGGCCUCUCUUAAUUAUACUUCACAAGUAGAAGGUCAAACUUGGCAAACCUUGAAAAUCGGAAAUCAUAGAUAUGAUAAUGUGAAUCUUCUUAUCGUGAAAAAUCUUUGUGCUGAUAUAAUUAUCGGCCAUGACGUCCUCGAAGAACAUUCAUCGCUAGAGUUCUCUUUCGGUGGGCCAAAACAUCCACUUCAAGUAUGUAACGUAGCUGAAGCAUCAGUACCAGCUGUACCGCUUUUUGCGAAUGUAUCUCCCAACUGCAAACCUAUUGCUAUAAAGUCUCGAAGGCACAACAAAGAGGAUAGUGAAUUUAUUAAAGAAGAAAUCAGAAAUCUUAUAGCAGAGGGCGUGAUUGAAGAAAGUAAAUCACCGUGGAGGGCCCAAGUACUAAUAACAAAAAGCGAAACUCAUAAAAAAACGCCUUGUAAUUGAUUACUCUCAGACAAUUAAUCGUUACACAGAACUCGACGCGUAUCCUUUACCAAACAUUGAGGACUUAGUUUCGAAAGUGGCAAAGAAUAUAUUUUUCAGCCUAAUAGACCUAAAAAACGCGUACCAUCAAGUACCUAUACUACCCGAAGAAAGGAAAUUUACCGCUUUUGAAGCACUGGGAAAUUUGUACCAGUUCAGGCGUAUUCCUUUUGGAGUAACAAAUGGUGUUUCGAGCUUCCAACGAACAAUCGAUUGGAUUAUAAGAAAAGAGAAGCUUCAAAACACAUAUGCGUAUCUUGAUGAUAUAACUAUUUCUGGCCGUACUCUUGAAGAACACGAUCAUAACUUAGAAAGUUUUAUGAAUGCCGCAAAGAAAUACGGUUUAACACUGAGUAUACAAAAAUGCAAAUUUUCUCAAAAGUCAAUUAAUAUUCUAGGCUACAAUAUUCAAAACCACAUCAUUAAACCUGACAAUGAGCGACUCAAGCCACUGAUUAAUUUACCUCCACCAAGCGAUUUACCGACCUUAAGAAGGACACUCGGCAUGUUCGCACAUUAUUCUAAGUGGAUUCCAAAAUUUUCUGAACGGAUCCACUCACUUGCUAAUACGACGAUUUUUCCACUCACAAGCGAGCAAAUUAAAUGUUUCGAAGGCUUGAAAAAUGAUAUCGCAAAGUCUUCUAUACAUGCAAUUGAUGAUAAUAUACCUUUUACAGUGGAAACUGACGCUUCCGAUCAUUCCAUUGCAGCAGUACUUACGCAAAAUUCUAGACCAGUGGCGUUUUUCUCAAGAACUUUGAAUUCAAGCGAACAAAACCAUUCCGCCAUUGAAAAAGAAGCGUACGCCAUUGUGGAAUCAUUGAAGAAAUGGAGACAUUUCCUUAUUGGUAGACACUUUAAGUUGGUAACUGACCAACGCUCGGUUUCUUUUAUGUUUAAUAUGAAACAUUCAAGUAAGAUAAAGAAUGAAAAGAUUCAAAGAUGGCGACUGGAACUUGCUGCUUUCAAAUACGAUAUUAUAUACAGACCGGGGAAAGAGAACUAUGCUGCUGAUGCACUAUCCCGAGUUUGUGCCACUGUAGAAACACGUACUGCAAAACUUUUCUCGCUGCAUGAGGCUCUUUGUCAUCCAGGGGUAACAAGAAUGUUUCACUGGGUUCGCUCUAAAAACCUUCCCUAUUCAAUUGAAGAAGUCAGAACAAUGACAAAAUCUUGUCGAACCUGCUCUGAAAUAAAACCUAGAUUCUUCCGAAAUACCUUUGAUGACCAGAGGAAACUUGUUAAAGCGACGGCGGCUUUUGAACGCCUUAGCAUAGAUUUUAAAGGACCAGUUCCAACAAAUAAUAAUAACAAAUUCAUACUUACCGUGAUUGACGAAUUUUCACGUUUCCCGUUUGCAUUCCCAUGCUCAGAUGUAAGCUCGAAAACAGUGAUUAAACAUCUUAACAACUUGUUUAUGAUAUUUGGCAUGCCUUCUUAUGUUCAUUCAGAUCGCGGAACAGCAUUUCUUUCUGCUGAAGUACAGGAAUUUUUACAUGUUCGAGGUAUUGCCACUAGUAGAACUACAGCUUAUAACCCUCAAGGUAACGGUCAAGUAGAAAAAUUGAAUUCUACUCUUUGGAGAACGAUUCUUUUGGCGCUGAAGACGAAGAAUCUUUCGGUAGAAAAUUGGGAACAAGUAUUACCACAAGCCUUACAUUCAAUCCGAUCAUUACUUUGUACAACCAUAAAUUGCACUCCACAUGAAAGAAUGUUUAGACACCCUCGAAGAUCUACAAACGGCACUUCUGUUCCAUCGUGGCUUACAAAUUCUGGACAAGUCUUGAUGAAGAAAUUUAAUCGUACAAAUAAAUAUCAGCCAUUAGUAGAAGAGGUUGAAUUGAUACACAGCAAUCCUGACUUUUCAUACAUUCGGCUUCCAGAUGGCCGAGAAACAACAGUGUCGAAUCGUCAUCUAGCACCAUUGGGUUCAGAAAGGGUAGAUCUGCGAAUAGAUAAUGAACACACUAUUGAUUAUCAUAACGUCGCAGAACCACUUCCGGAAACAGAAGACCAAAACUUGGAGAUUCCUUCAUCUAAUGAACCGGGACCUGUGGUACUUGAUAAUAACAGAGAGCUAGAGACAGAAUUACCAUCAUCACCACCGCCGGAGCCAACACUUCGUAGAUCUGGUCGCGUCCAUAAAACGCCAGGAUUUUUAAAAGAUUAUGUUUUAAAAUAGUGCGGGAGAAUGAUGUAAACUUCUUAGUUGAAAUUAUUAGCCAUAAGUUGACGUCAUUGUCAAUCUGUUUUAUUCGUUAUUUGUCAAUGUACCUAAUGUAAUCAAAGCAAAUUUUACUGUUAAUUUUAGCUUAUUAAAACCUUAUAUUCAGUAAA